GAUGGAACGUAGCGAAAUGCGAUAAGUAAUGUGAAUUGCAGAAUUCAGUGAAUCAUCGAAUCUUUGAACGCAUCUUGCGCUCCUUGGUAUUCUGAGGAGCAUGCCUGUUUGAGUGUCAUUAAAUUCUCAACUACACUGACUUUGAAUUGGUGUGGCUUGGAUUUGGGGGGAAAAUUGUUGUGGGCUUUUUGUAUAGUCUGCUCCCCUGAAAUUGAUUAGCGGUACCUUUGUGGAACUGUCUACAGGUGUGAUAAUUAUCUACAUCUUAGACAUCUGCUGGAAUGCUGCUUUCUAAACCUUACUUGUAUUGACAAUCUUGACCUCAAAUCAGGUAGGACUACCCGCUGAACUUAAGCAUAUCAAUAAGCGGAGGA
Molecule: unclassified non-coding RNA, 374 nt
Filed under: soil metagenome
Description: partial contains 5.8S ribosomal RNA, internal transcribed spacer 2, and large subunit ribosomal RNA
Rfam family: 5.8S ribosomal RNA (bases 4-118)
Source: RNAcentral